This 253-nucleotide ribosomal RNA is filed under the name uncultured bacterium. Its description in RNAcentral is "partial 16S ribosomal RNA". It matches the Rfam family "Bacterial small subunit ribosomal RNA", at positions 524 to 776 of the family's 1533-position model. The record is from RNAcentral.
UACAUGGGGUGCAAACGUUGCUCGGAAUCAUUGGGCGUAAAGCGCGCGUAGGCGGUUACUUAAGUUGGAUGUGAAAGCCCUCGGCUUAACUGAGGAAGUGCAUCCAAAACUGAGUAGCUAGAGUACGAAAGAGGGUCGCGGAAUUCCCGGUGUAGAGGUGAAAUUCGUAGAUAUCGGGAGGAACACCGGUGGCGAAGGCGGCCUUCUGGUCGGAUACUGACGCUAAAACGCGAAAGCGUGGGGAGCAAACAGG